AUCUUCGGGGUUGGGUGAAAUUCCCUACCGGCGGUAAAGUCCGCGACCUAUCAUUUUAUUUAUGUAUAAUAUGAUGGCUGAACUGGUGAGUAUAAGCAAUUCCAGUACCGACAGUAAAGUCUGGAUGAGAGAAGGUA
This 137-nucleotide non-coding RNA is filed under the name Candidatus Ruminococcus intestinipullorum. RNAcentral describes it as "FMN riboswitch (RFN element)". It matches the Rfam family "FMN riboswitch aptamer (RFN element)". From Rfam's summary of the family: The RFN element is a highly conserved domain that is found frequently in the 5'-untranslated regions of prokaryotic mRNAs that encode for flavin mononucleotide (FMN) biosynthesis and transport proteins. The record is from RNAcentral. Lineage: Bacteria; Bacillati; Bacillota; Clostridia; Eubacteriales; Oscillospiraceae.